UUAACCGCAAUGUGAAUAAAAAUAUAACAAGAAACUAUAUAAAAUCACAGCUGACGGUCUGUACGGUGAAUUAACUGCAGUCUGAAUAAAAAUAUAACAAAGAAACUAUAUAAAAUCUGAGCUGACGUUCUGUACAGUGAAUUAACCGCAAUCUGAAUAUAACAAAGAAAAUAUAAAAUCACAGCUGACAUUCUGUACAGUGAAUUUGGAGCGCCUUGGGGCAACUGUUUGUUGUGAUUUGGCGCUAUACAAGAAAAAAGUUGAUUGAUUGAUUGAUUGAAUUAACCGCAAUCUGAAUAAAAAUAUAACAAAGAAACUAUAUAAAAUCUGAGCUGACGGUCUGUACGGUGAAUUACCCACAAUCUGAAUAAAAAUCUAAAAAAUUAUAUAAAAUCACAGCUGACGUUCUGUAUGCAAAAUUAACCAUAAUCUGAAUAAAAUAACAAAGAAACUGUAUAAAAUCACAGCACCACAAUCUGAAUAAAAUAUAACAAAGAAACUGUAUAAAAUCACAGCACCACAAUCUGAAUAAAAUAUAACAAAGAAACUGUAUAAAAUCACAUCUGACAGUUUCUGACGGUCUGUACGGUGAAUUGACCGCAGUCUGAAUAAAAUAUAAAAAGAAACUAUAUAAAAUCACAGCUGACGGUCUGUACGGUGAAUGGACCGCAGUCUGAAUAAAAAUAUAAAAAGAAACUAUAUAAAAUCACAGCUGACGGUCUGUACGGUGAAUUGACCGCAGUCUG
This is a long non-coding RNA of Thalassophryne amazonica, 746 nucleotides long. RefSeq lists it as uncharacterized. The transcript is spliced from 2 exons. The record is from RefSeq and is a predicted model, not a curated record. Lineage: Eukaryota; Metazoa; Chordata; Actinopteri; Batrachoidiformes; Batrachoididae.